Molecule: long non-coding RNA, 460 nt
Organism: Tyto alba (common barn owl)
Lineage: Eukaryota; Metazoa; Chordata; Aves; Strigiformes; Tytonidae
Exons: 3
Source: RefSeq, a predicted model, not a curated record
GGUGAAGGGGGUAACGUCGUGGGGCGUCCAGUUGUGUCUGUCCGCCAGGAUGCAGUGGAGGCUGCGGGGGGAAAGCCUGGAGAUCCGCAGAAGAGCACCUAGCAAAGACAGCCCAUAACUGUCGGGAUUUUGUUUCGGCACGUUGUGCAGAUGCCAGAUCCUCCAGCACCAGCAUCAGGAGGUUUGUGCUGGCAUGGCAGAAGGGAGCAGCCAUGGAAGCAGGGGAGACCAGAUCGCCUCUGCUGGCACCGACCACCCUGUGCCGGUGGGAACAGCCCUGGGAAGCAACUGCAUUCUGCUGAAUGGGAAGGCACGUCCUUCAGACAGAAUUAGUAAUAAAUCAAGGAGCUAUAUUGUGCAGAACUUACCGGCUUGCUGCGAGGCUGGACCAGGUCAGAGAGCUUCAGAACAACAACCCGGUCCUGCCUGGUCUCCAGAGCCGGGGGCAAGGAGCGGUGCU